RNAcentral lists this transfer RNA (90 nucleotides) under bacterium. RNAcentral describes it as "tRNA-Ser". It matches the Rfam family "tRNA". From Rfam's summary of the family: Transfer RNA (tRNA) molecules are approximately 80 nucleotides in length. Their secondary structure includes four short double-helical elements and three loops (D, anti-codon, and T loops). The record is from RNAcentral. RNAcentral also lists the same sequence under 2 other names.
GGAGAGGUGGCUGAGUGGCUGAAAGCGCCUUCCUGCUAAGAAGGUAUACUGUGUUAAACGGUAUCGGGGGUUCGAAUCCCCCCCUCUCCG